AGAUGGAGACUUGUGCUCAUAGGGUGGAGGUGGUGGAGAUUUGUAAAUGUAAGAUGGUGGAGGUGACGGUGAGGGAGGCGGUGGUGACUUGUAAAUGUAAGGUGGUGGUGGUGAUGGUGAUGGUGGUGGGGGUGACUUGUACUGGUAAGAUGGAGCCUUGUGCUCAUAUGGUGGUGGAGGUGACGGUGAUGGAGGUGGUGGUGACUUGUAAAUGUAAGGUGGUGGAGGUGAUGGUGAUGGAGGUGGGGGUGACUUGUACUGGUAAGAUGGUGCCUUGUGCUCAUAUGGAGGCGGUGGUGACGGUGAUGGAGGCGGUGGUGACUUGUACACAUAAG
RNAcentral lists this long non-coding RNA (335 nucleotides) under Medicago truncatula (barrel medic). RNAcentral describes it as "long non-coding RNA (MTRU_LNC006770)". Lineage: Eukaryota; Viridiplantae; Streptophyta; Magnoliopsida; Fabales; Fabaceae. The record is from RNAcentral.